CAAACAUGAUGAUACCUGAGAACGGUUUUGCUUUCUUAACUGAUGUCGUGUGAUGUCAUGAUUCUCUUGGCUAUCUGAUUUA
Molecule: small nucleolar RNA, 82 nt
Organism: Chanos chanos (milkfish)
Lineage: Eukaryota; Metazoa; Chordata; Actinopteri; Gonorynchiformes; Chanidae
Product: small nucleolar RNA SNORD53/SNORD92
Exons: 1
Source: RefSeq, a predicted model, not a curated record